RNAcentral lists this transfer RNA (74 nucleotides) under Microbacterium sp. RNAcentral describes it as "tRNA-Ile". It matches the Rfam family "tRNA". Rfam says of the family: Transfer RNA (tRNA) molecules are approximately 80 nucleotides in length. Their secondary structure includes four short double-helical elements and three loops (D, anti-codon, and T loops). Lineage: Bacteria; Bacillati; Actinomycetota; Actinomycetes; Micrococcales; Microbacteriaceae. The record is from RNAcentral. RNAcentral also lists the same sequence under 32 other names.
GGGCCCAUAGCUCAGGCGGUUAGAGCGCUUCACUGAUAAUGAAGAGGUCCCAGGUUCAAGUCCUGGUGGGCCCA